RNAcentral lists this ribosomal RNA (428 nucleotides) under Acinetobacter junii. RNAcentral's name for it is "bacterial SSU rRNA". It matches the Rfam family "Bacterial small subunit ribosomal RNA", at positions 353 to 772 of the family's 1533-position model. Lineage: Bacteria; Pseudomonadati; Pseudomonadota; Gammaproteobacteria; Moraxellales; Moraxellaceae. The record is from RNAcentral.
AGUGGGGAAUAUUGGACAAUGGGGGAAACCCUGAUCCAGCCAUGCCGCGUGUGUGAAGAAGGCCUUAUGGUUGUAAAGCACUUUAAGCGAGGAGGAGGCUACUGAGACUAAUACUCUUGGAUAGUGGACGUUACUCGCAGAAUAAGCACCGGCUAACUCUGUGCCAGCAGCCGCGGUAAUACAGAGGGUGCGAGCGUUAAUCGGAUUUACUGGGCGUAAAGCGUGCGUAGGCGGCUUUUUAAGUCGGAUGUGAAAUCCCCGAGCUUAACUUGGGAAUUGCAUUCGAUACUGGGAAGCUAGAGUAUGGGAGAGGAUGGUAGAAUUCCAGGUGUAGCGGUGAAAUGCGUAGAGAUCUGGAGGAAUACCGAUGGCGAAGGCAGCCAUCUGGCCUAAUACUGACGCUGAGGUACGAAAGCAUGGGGAGCAAA